ACACAUAUUUUAGUUGUUGUUGAUUACGUUACUAAGUGGGUAGAAGCUAUUUCAACUAGUAGUGCUGAUCAUAACACUUCUAUUAAAAUGCUUAAAGAAGUUAUUUUUCUGAGGUUUGGAGUCCCUAGAUAUCAUAUGACUGAUGGUGGUUCACACUUUAUUCAUGGUGCUUUCCGUAAGAUGCUUGCUAAGUAUGAUGUCAAUCAUAGAAUCACAUCUCCUUAUCAUCCGCAGUCUAGUGGUCAAGUAGAGUUGACCAAUACAGAGCUCAAACUAAUUUUGCAAAAGACUAUGAAUAGGUCUAGAAAGAAUUGGUCCAAAAAACUUGAUGAUGCAUUAUGGGCCUAUAGAACUGCAUACAAAAAUCCUAUGGGUAUGUCUCCAUAUAAGAUGGUUUAUGGAAAAGCAUGUCAUUUACCUCUUGAACUUGAACAUAAAGCAUAUUGGGCUAUUAAAGAGCUCAAUUAUGACUUCAAACUUGCCGGUGAGAAGAGGUUGUUUGAUAUUAGCUCACUUGAUGAAUGG
Molecule: ribosomal RNA, 525 nt
Filed under: Triticum aestivum (bread wheat)
Lineage: Eukaryota; Viridiplantae; Streptophyta; Magnoliopsida; Poales; Poaceae
Description: partial small subunit ribosomal RNA
Source: RNAcentral